RNAcentral lists this ribosomal RNA (270 nucleotides) under uncultured archaeon. RNAcentral's name for it is "partial 16S ribosomal RNA". It matches the Rfam family "Archaeal small subunit ribosomal RNA", at positions 477 to 747 of the family's 1478-position model. The record is from RNAcentral.
CAGCACCUCAAGUGGUCAGGAUGAUUAUUGGGCCUAAAGCAUCCGUAGCCGGCGCUGUAAGUUUUCGGUUAAAUCUGUACGCUCAACGUACAGGCUGCCGGGAAUACUGCAGCGCUAGGGAGUGGGAGAGGUAGACGGUACUCGGUAGGAAGGGGUAAAAUCCUUUGAUCUAUUGAUGACCACCUGUGGCGAAGGCGGUCUACCAGAACACGUCCGACGGUGAGGGAUGAAAGCUGGGGGAGCAGACCGGAUUAGAGACCCGAGUAGUCC